CGCACAGCUGGCACUUGGCGGCGGCGGCGGCGGCGCGGCCCUGCCGGUAGCGCUGCACGAUGGUUUCCAGCAGCCGGUUGCGCUGGAAGCCGCGGAGCCCGCGCUGGUCCAGGGAGGCGCUCCGGUGGCACUGCGGGCAGACCACUGCUGAGCUAAUACUCCUGCUGCUACAGCAGAGUUUUAUAGAGUCAGGCUGCCCGUUUGUGACUGCAAUGCCUUGGGCAAGAGGACUGGAUGCUGGCUACCAAUGCUGCACACAGCUCCUGAAGACUUAACACACAGAAAUCCCUAAGGAAUGCAUCUUCAUCUGUUUCUUCAUCUGUUUUUUUCUCAGUCUGUGUAUCAUUGUGUGAGAAGCUGCUGCAAAGUCCUGAGCAGAUGUCGCCUGCACUUUCCUUGUUAAUGAAGGAGCUGAGGUCUUGUUACAGAAUCUGUCUUUUUACCAGCAUAUACCAGUUUAUUCCUCUUACAGACAUGGUACAUUGUGUACAAGUCUCUUCAAAGAGCACAUAUAUACUUUAACAAUAACACGUUGCCAAAUGUGUUUCCUCUCAGAGGCAGAAGAUGAGAGAGUAUUUCCCUAAAUAAAUACAUCCCCCAUCUAUUUUAUCCUCCCAUAUUCCUGCAGACAAAGACCUGAGGAAAGAUAAGAAAUUGUAAUCUUUCCCUGAAACCUGCUCCACUGCCCUUGCUUGACUAGGACAUGGCACAGCAGAGGUCUUCACUGGGAAUGUUGCAGAGCCAUGGCACACUAGACUUAGGCACAUGGCCUGUAAGCCCCGAACAGUUCUUAAUGAAACAAUUGACUCUGUAGCAGUCAAAAAUCAAAUCUUGAGGAAUAUUCAGAUGUAAAAAAUAAACCCCUCCAACCGUUGAGAAUCAGGGCAUCAGAAAUGUCCAUCAGUUAUUGCCCAUCAGAUUAUUCACACUGCAAAUAAUCAGAUGGUUUUGACAGCUGUAUUCUGCUGUGGCUGUAACCUCUGUGGAAACUCUGAGGGGUAGUGCAAAAUGGGGUAUCCCCAUCCUUAAGUAACAUAUAUAUGUGUAACUAUAAGAAACCUACAUGUAAAGGUGCAAACAAGAAAUAUGAAUGGAAAAAAAAAAAAGAGAUCCUCACUACAUACAGUAGCAGAAAUGUGAGCAGAAAUAGAGGAAUCGGAGUGUCCUCUCCCCUGCAUCCAUUUCAGUUUAGCUAUUCUUGUUUUCCACUUUUCCUCUGUCUUUUGGCUUCUCCCUUAUGUCUUGCUGACCAUUUAAAUAACUGUUUUAAGAGUGCUAUUUUCUUGGCACUGUUUCCAAAAAACAUUUCUUUCCCCUUGUCACAUCUUUGUUUUUAUUUCUUUCUUUAUUAUCUCACUGGUUGCACACCUCACCCUGCUGCUGUGACAACACCCCCAAACGUGCACUUCAAAUUUGCUUAUUCCUCCCUGUUGUCUUCGUUCCAGCCAAAGCCUCUGUGAUCUUUGACCUCUGUUCUUUCUUCCCUGUGAGGGUCUUAACCUCACAAGAGGCUCUUCUUCUCUCCUUGCCUUUUUCUUAUUUCACUGCUUCUUUCUCAAUGUCAUUAUCUCUCUUUUCCACCACCAACACAACCACCUCAAAGUUGCUCCUAUGAUUCUCAUCUUCCUGCCUCUCCUGAGACUUUCCUCAUUGAAUUUCCCAUAAGGAUCCCUGCAAAGAUCACAAGACCUGUAGAACCCCCUGCCAAAGUGAUGAAAUAUGCAUUGGCUCUACCUGUGCUAACAGCAAUAGCCCUUUUGAGCCUCCCAUGUCAAUCAUGAACUCUGCUGUUCACACAGCAUCCUGCGAAGACGAUAAAGUAAGCAUGGACUCCCGCAGAGAAAAUAAAAGCCGGAAGGGCUCCCUUGAUGCUUCACAUUACACAGAAGCUUCAAAAAGCUAGGGAUAAAUAUAUUGAAUGUUUUCAAGACAAGGAAGCACAGCAAAAUGUUGCAGAAUGAUUCAUUUAGAGGAAUUUCAGAAAUGUGAAGGAAAUACACAGCACUGGGUUAAAAGGCAAGGGUGAUACAGAGCAGUGGCAUAAUACUUAAAAACUUCAUAGGAAAAAAAAGGAGAUAGGGAAGAAUUAGAGCCUAGAAACUCAAAGUUAAGUUAACCCAACUGUUGCAUAUAUAAGCAAUCAGGACCAAGUCGGAUUCAAAAGGCUUAAAUCUAACUCAGCACCUUGCUGUCCCAGGCUCUCUAACAGUUAAUGUUUGUCGAUAGACUAUGAAGUAUCUGACACCCUAAACUUUCUGUAGCUUUAGUAGUUCUUUGGCUUAUACUGCCGUCAUCCUAAACUAGGUCUAGCAUAAUUUAAAUUGCAGAAGACACACAUAAGGGAAUAUCCUUGCAUGCAGGGCUGUAGUCUUUUUGAAAAUCAUAAAAACUUAAAGUAGUUAGCAAUUUCCCAACCACUGACAUAAAUAAAUUAUGUAAGGAAAGUGGGCUGGAAAGGAACUGAAUCUUUGGGUGAAGUACAAAAAAGAAAACAGAGCAGGCAAUGCCGCUGUCUUACCAGAGCAAGGGCAGGAGAACAGUCUGUGGUCUUCUCAUAGCCAUUGGUUCUUAGGUACAGCCGUGGCUCACUCUGGGGCAAGGAUGCUACACAGACUUUAGCUCUUCCUCCUUUCAGCACAAGGCAGACUGAACAAGCAGCACCUUCAGCCAGAUCGUGGAUGUGUCCAUCCCUUGCUGACUGCCUGACCCAUAACUUUAAAACUCAUGACACCACCACUGACAUUCAUGUGUGUAAUUCAUUUUGCAUUAACAAAUUCUGCAGGUGAAGCUUUUGUUCAAAACCAGUGGCGUCUGUCUUAAAAUGUAGCUUGUUUUCUCUAAAGGUCCAUUGCAACACUCAGCUUUAGCUUGUUUUUUCCACUGUUUUUAUAUAGCCAUUUGCUUCUACACCAGAAAACAGAUGAUGCCAGCUAAACACAAAUUUAUGCCAGUAUGGAUUUAAUUACUUUAGUGUAGUUGAACUAAGUGAUGUGUUUAGCUUGCUUGGUAGUGUUCCUUUCCUUCUGUUCGAUAAAUUAACAGUUGUGAUCAUAGAUUUUUAAUAAAAUGCCAAGGUCUAAUUUCUUUUUAUGGCUGUGAGGUCCCUACCUGAUAAACAUAAAACAAGACUUACUAAUACCACUGUUUACAGUAAUCUUUUAACCUACUAUGUGCUUGUUUAUAUUUCACUUGAGGGUUGUUGGUUUUUUUUUUUCCCCGAGUACCAGCAGAAAUGUGUGAUGAUUGAGAAAAAUUACCAUAUGAGCAAUGUUUAAAAGUGUGUAGUUGUACAGCUCUGUAAACUGGGAGGCGAAGAAGAGCCAGAGUGGUAUAAUCCCUUGUUCAGGCUAGGCUGCUUCUGUCAUCUGAGAGGACAAAAAUUCAGACAGUAGGGCAUUGCACUUCCACUGCCAUCUGAAAAGUGCCCAAGGGGAGCUGUGCUUUGCUAGCUCAAGCUAUUUUCUUGCCCAUCUGCUCAAUUUAUUUAGAGAAGUGCAUUACGCAACCUAACUUCCCUGCUGUAGUCCUGCUAUGUUGAGGUUCAAAUGGAUGUGGCAAUGCACUUUGCAAUUCUAGGGGAAGUUUUGAGGAAAAGUACUGAUUAUAUCAAAUCAGGCUUUUCAGUCUGCAAUGGUAAAGGCAUUCCUAUAUAGCUAUUAAAAAAACCUCAAACGUAACAACCAACAACAACAAAAAAAAAGAAAAUAUCUGAGGAAAGAUGAAAAUUAAAACUGAGGAAGGCUGAAAUACACUCAACUGUAUCAGCAAGAAGGAGUAAUACUGUGAAAACCAAUCAGGACAAGACUAGCGACACAUUAUCUGCACAGCUUGGGUGUUUGGCAGCGAAAGAGUGAUGUUAUCGUACACCAACAAUCCAGGGCAUGGUUACCUGCAGUCCUUCAGAUUGUCUCAUAUCACUGCCAGUAUGGAAAGUAACACUUGUAAAUCACCCAUGUUAAGUGCUUGCCCUCAACUAAAAAAAUAAACAUUUUAGUGGCUAUCUGAAAUGUGAUAAAACAUCCCUAUUAAUAUUUAGUUUAAUGAAAUCCUUCUUCAAAUCUUCUUCAUAUCCUAGAUUUUCUGUGAUAAAAUUGUCUGGUGGUGACCUGUAUACAGGCUAGUAUUACAAACGACACCGUCUUUCUUGAUCCUCGAUCCUCUCUUGUGAGACCUCAUCUGAAGUAUUGCGUCCAGUUCUGGAAUCUUCAACAGAAGAAGGAUAUGGAACUGUUGGAACGGGUCCAGAGAAGGGCUACAAAACUGAUCAGAGGGCUGGAGCACCUCCAUAUAAAGACAGGCUGAGAGAAUUGGGGUUGUUCAGCCUGGAGAAGAGAAGGCUCAAAGGGGCUACAGGAAAGCUGGAGAGGGACUGUUCACAAUGGCUUGUAGUGAUAGGACAAGGGGCAAUGGGUAUAAACUGGAGAGGGGUAGAUUUAGACUAGACAUAAGGAAGAAUUUCUUCACUAUGAGAGUGGUGAGGCGCUGGCACAGGUUGCCCAGGGAAGCCGCAGCUGCCCCAUCCCUGGAGGUGUUCAAGGCCAGGCUGGAUGGGGCCUUGGGCAGCCUGAUCUAGUGGGAGGUGUCCCUGCCCAUGGCAGGGGGCUUGGAACUAGAUGAUCAUUAAGGUCCCUUCCAACCCAAACUAUUCUAUGAUUCUAUGAUGAUUCUAUGAUUCUAUGAUUAUGUGAAUAUUGCGUACCUCUCAGCUCUAUUUGGUAAAUCAGUGUUGCUUUAAGGACCUGGCUUCCCUAGGUAAAAGAGUGUAAACAAAUUUUUUCAUGGGCUCUUUUCUGAGACAUUCAACAUUCAGGUACCACAUGCAUCCAGUUACUUUUUAAGAGCAGGGAGAAGUGGUUGGUCACAAUGGUGGAUGUGAUCAACCGUUUCCAUCUCAAUCUAUCCUUGUUUCUUCUGGAGCACCAAAUGCCAUCACUGCACUGAUCCAGCAGGGCUAUAUGAAUCUUUCUCAGGUUGCUACGUCACAGGUUUGCCCUAGUCCCAAAAAGCCCGUUUUCCCCAAGAACAGGCUGAGUUGUAGUUCAGGAAGGUGUGGACUUAGAGGACAAAAUGCUAAAGAGGCCAUACCACCCUUGACAAUGCAGUUGCAUCUGCUGCUGGCUUCAAAAAUCCCCAUAAUGCAUUGAUUUGGAUCUACACUGUGCUGUGUUUAUGCAAUAUGAACAGCUGUAGGACAUCACUACUGCUGUUGGGAUGGAUUUGACAGCCAGGCUGCUGCCUCCAAUAAAAACUGACAUAAGCUUGUCUUUGAGGUUGAGUAUCACUUACUCAAUGAGAAGGACCUGCACAGGUAUCAAUACAGAGCAUGUUUCAGACCUAGGAUCAGACCCAAUGCCCUCUACAGCUGAAGUCAGUGGACAGACUGUUAUUGACUUUUAUGAGAUUUGGAUCAUGCUUUGUUUGGCCUUGUCUUAGGAAUGCCAGAGGUAUCCAGAACAUACUAUGAAGCAUCUUCCUACAAAAACCUUGGAAGCUACCUUAAAUUGCAUGCUUCUUGCAGUUUUAACCAGCUAGGGCUUUGCUGAUAGUUCGUUAAAUGAAGUAAGAAUUAAAAGUAAUGCAUUUUCAGAAUUGGGUCUAGAGCAGAGACAGCAAAGUGUUUAAGUUCUGAACUGAUAAACAAAUAAUGGUAUUUUAGGUUGUUACUUGUUUAGUUCCCAAUUUGUGACAGUUCGCCAAAGUGACAGAAAAUUAUCAUCUUUUCCCUCUCUGCCUCAGAGCAAAGAAUGACUCGGCAAGAAUGAAGCUGGUAAAUAUAAAUGGCUUCAUCGAAAUAGCGACUGCCACAAGAUGCAAGUAACCCACUUUCAGAGCACUGACAGAAUUAUGUUGAUCCUAUUCUAAAAAUUUUGUAAUCUUUGAAACAUAAAAGACUUGGUUCUUGUUAUUUUUUGCUUACAGUAGAAAACUGACAAGAAUUGUGAGAUAACUUAAAGUUAUUUUGGGUCACUGAUAUUCCAAAAGUCCAGAAAACUCAUGAUUAAUUAAAAAGCAAUUGUACUGCAAAAAGUGACCACGUAAAAAUGCUAAGGCAUGUAUACCUUGUACUCCAAAUCUUACUUCUUACACUGUAGGGGCUUUGUGGCCUUGUAUAAUUAUACAUUGGGAAAAAAUGAAUUUGUACAAUGUCACAUUAUCAAAGAUCCAUUUUCAUGAUAAGCAUUAGACUUGUUAGUAAUCAUAAUUCUGAUGGUUCCUGUUCAGGCAUUUUCUUUAGGCUUCCAUCUUCCUCAGCCUAUUUAGCAAAGAUAGAAAAAAAAUACUCUUGCAUAUGCCCAGGCAGAAUGAUUCUUAUUUUUCCAGACCUGCCAGAAAAAUACUUCAGAAAUCCUUGUUCUUUUCUUCUAAGACAUUUGUAUACCUGUUUGUUCCUGUUAGUGACUGAUUAUGUGAUCCACUUGAUCUCAUCUAAUUUCCAGCACAGAUGUUUGCUUUUUGCAGCUUCCCCUCUUUGCAGAUAUUUGUUAUCGCAUUUCCCCCUGCAGGAGUUUUAGUCUUUUGUUUUGCUUUGCUUUCUAGUUUUUUUGUUUGGCUUUGGUUUUUUGUUUCCUUUUGCAGCCUUAACAGAUAUCGCAGAUUGCUUUUUUUGGUUUAGGCUCUGCCCAUGCGAUGCUCCAGACAGCACCAAGUUCUAAAAUGGCAAAGAAAUGAACAGAUUAUCAUUUGGUUUGAUCCUGCCACAUGUGUGAGUGCCUGCAACAAUACAACAGGUGCCUAAGGUGUGCACAGGAAUCACUGCCCUUCAGCACAAUUCCUACUUGGCAGCGAUGGCUGUUGGCAUUAUAGCUCUUCCCCAACAGCUCUGCCAAGGAAGAACACCUCUGAAAAGCUGGAGGGACUUCAGGGAGGGAAGAUGGAAUGAGCCUCAGUGCUCUGGAUGUGUUUCUCAGUCUAGAUAUCGGUCCGGGACAAUGACGUCUGGCUGCAAUAAACUGAGAAGGGUGACUGUUGUGAAGCACACAAGAGCUCAGCACAUGAUGAGAGGGAGCAUCCUCCCUCUUGGCAAGCACUUGAGUAGGUGUCAGAGAAGCAACCACAUAGUUUGCAGGGCCUGAAAGGGGCAUUUCUAAUAGAAAAGGAGGGAAAAGAGUGGAAAUUUGAACUGUUCUGAUGUAUUUCUCUGACAGAUUCAGUUCAGGUAAAAAUCUGAUAUCCUAAGUACUUAAACCAAGAAGUAUUUCAAGUGUUAUGUUUGCUGCAUGGAAUAUAUUUUAAGUUAAAAUACUGACGGUAUUUUAAAGUUAUUCCUUUGCCUAUGCAAUUAAAAAAAUGUAUUGCUCAUACUAAAUAAGGCUCAGCCUUAUUGCUGUUUGGGUGCCACAUACUAAAAUGCUGCAAGAAGCAGUGAUGACAGUUCAGCUAGUAGAACAUCUGCCUCUGAGUCAGUAAUUACCAGGUGCCCCUGCACUGAAUUUAGGGGUCACCAGGGUGCUGAAUGUGCUGUUCUUGUGUGAAAUAUGAAACAAAAAUUCUAAUCACUUGUUGGCUAUUAAAUAACUGAUGACAGCUCUCAUCAGAGACUCACAAUAGCUUUGCUCCUCUAACUGUGCCAGGUAAUUACAUUCUCUCUACCUAAAUGAACUUUCAAUUACAGAGAGUACUUUUCUCCUUUAAACUGUUUAGAAAUAAUGCUAUGCACCGUUACCUUAUUGCCCUUGUCCCAUUUCAGAGGCAGCUCAAUUUCAGCACUAGACAAAGAGACCCAGGUCCCUACAAGGAUGCUCCACGCAAGCUUCAGCCAGGCCUUGAUUUAGGUUCUGGAUGCUGUGCUCUCAGGCAUUGCUGUAGCCUCAUCCAUACUGUGCGAUCCCAGCUGCUGGAAGGAAGAGGCCUUACUGAAGUCUGCCCAUCACUUUCCACAUCUGAGACCUCACAGAGGAGUGCAGGCUGUUUGCACCAGGUAGUACCCCAGUGCAGGCAGAGGGCAGUAUGGGAUAAUGGCAUUUGGCCCAGCUGAACUGAAGGGUAUGACUUGGGGUGUUUUACGUCCUCAGGAUUGCAUUUGAUUAUUCAGCAAUUCAAUUCAGGCACAAAUCUACUUGCAUUUGUGGGAGAGGAAGGUCAGUUUUCAAGAACGCAGGUACAUCUGAAUUAUGCUCCCCUCCCCAGCAAACAUUAUAGCCAUUUGCAGCUGAAGAGAAGUGUUUAUCUCAUGGGCAGUGUAAUCUAUAUCUGUCUUAUGGAGAUAUGGCAUCUUACAGAUUUUUGUAUUCAGCUUGGAAAAAAUUCUUAUAUAUACAUUUACUGAGAGAGGACACAGAAUAAUGAAGCAAGAAAUAUAAUCUCUUUAUUGACAUUAGCUGAACAUAAUAGUAUGUAGAAACAUCCAUGUUUGCUUACAACUGGCCAUUUUCCAGUGAAAUAAAUAAUUCUUUAAAAAAAAAGAUUAACUAGUACUCCUCACUCAAAAAUGCUUCAAGGAAAAUAUCAAAUUGCUAGAUAAUCUGCAAUACACUGCGAGAACAAAUCCUUCUUACUUCUGCACACCCGCAGCCAUCCCUGUUCAGCAGCACUUUCUUUCUGCCUUGCAGUUUUGCCUGCAGAUUUAGAACUCCCAUCACUUUUACCUCAAAUGACCUCAGCCCAGCUUAGAUGGCAUCCUCCAGAUUUGACCUCAAUGCAGAUCUCACAAAAGGAAAGGGUCUGUUCAGUGUCACUAGGAUAAUAAGACAAAUACCCUUAAAGCCUAUAGCACUGAUCCCCUGGCUAUCUGCUUUCAGUAAUCAGAUUCUGGAAAGCUGUUACAGUAAGUGAAGUUGGCACUAUUAAGAGUAAGAAACACGGUGCUGUGAGGCUAACAAACUUAACUAAUGGCAGAGCAGUGGUAAUAAAUGUCCCCUCAAGCCAUCUUUUUUAAGAGGCAAAUGCCUAUCAGAGCUAUAUAGAACUUCUAGGAAAGAGUGGGGGAGAUAUCAAAAGGCACUUUGAAGUCCUUCUUUUCUUUUAUAUUUUUGACGCAGGAAGAGGAGACAAAGGGAAGAUGUUCAAAGCCAUUAAGAGCUGUGGGCAUGAGGCUAGUUUAUUACAUAAUUAUCUUACAAAACUCUGUUGAGUUCUUUCAUGGCUAUGAAUUUCGACAUAAUAGUGAAAUUAUUAAUUUCUACAGCCUAUCAUUGCUUUUCAUUUCAUUUUGGCAGAUUUGCUUUUUAGCAGCUGAUAUGAGAUAUUAAAAGAGCUUGCUUUCUUAAUUACAAAAGAAAUCCUGAUGACAAGAACACAUUGCAGGAAUAUAAAUUUGGUGGGGUCUAAAUGCUAACUCUUUUUUUCUGCUAUAGUUCAUCUAAUGGGGCAGAAUCUAUGAGACUGGAGAAAUAGGAAAAAAAGGACUCACACUGCUACAUCUAAUUUGAUAAAGUGAGGGGACAUGGUGAGGACAUUUUAAAACCAAUGUUGUAGAGCACUGAGUGAUGCACCACGGAGAAGAUUUAUAGUUUUAUCUAAGGUUAAACAGAGAUGUGUACUAGUCUGAUAUCGGCAUGAUAAGGAAAAUAAAUGGUUUGUUACUUUAACAGUAAGUCCCAUCAACUUUACUAUUAGAUCAAAUCCUUAUUUCUCCUGAGCAUGAUCCUUUCUGUAAUCCUGGAUCAAAAUUUCUGAUAUGAAAGUAGAGAGUUUGAUUCUCUCCCCCCCAUGUCUCAACGCAAACCAGCAGCACUUGAUAACUGAUUACACUGUAAAAAAAGAAAAUAGUAAGAGAGAGGAAUCAGGUCCCUCAUCACGGCAGAGAUGUAAGUGCCUAUUUGCUACAUGCAUGUGCUCUUUAGAUUUCCAUACUGCUUCUCACUGCUUUAUGUUGGGCAUAAAUUAGUUCAAAAAUCCAUAUCACCUUCAUUGUGAGGAAACAGCUUUGCUUUGAGUAGCUGCCACUUGCAAACAAAAAGGGGGGAAAAAAUGGCCCUACAUGCACAUUAUUGCGGCUGGAAGACGCCGUCAGUGGUGAAACUGUUACUCACAUAUGCUUACAGGUCUCCACAAAUCAGUCCCUUUGUGUAACCUCUGAUUCGUGCUUCCUUCAGAAUAUAGUGCUUUUGCUCUGCCCAGUCCUAAAUGCCUUUCUGUCACACCUGCCCCCCAUGCCCUAGACACAUUCCUUCUCUCCUGUUGUCAGAAUUUUGGGGGUUCUGGUUCUCCAUGAAAAAGGAAGACUUAGCAGUCUGACUUCAUUGCAGAGGACUAAGGGGCAGCAUUUGAUACCAAAAAGAAGCUGAAGAAGGCAGCACAGAGACUGCACAUGUGGCAGCUGAAACAAGAUGGACAAAGCAAAACGCAGGGAUAGGAAUUAAAGCAUCAGAGACCACAACUAAGGGGCAUUGCUUUGGAAUAGGGUUCAUGCAAGGAUAAGGAUAGGAACUGAUGAAAAAUCAGCAACAAGGACAAGAGAAACAGGCUGGAAGAGCAAGAGGCAUGCACAAGGGUUUAUAACCACAAGAAUAUAUUUCAUUAAGAACUUUAAACUGAAGCCUGAGUCUCCAAAUCUCCAUAUUUCUGUGUUUGUAGCAGUUAGUUCUGAACCUCAUGGACAAAAGCAGAGGUGUUGUUCUUGAGUAUCUAUGUGGUAGCAGACUCAUAAAAAAGAUAACAACCUCUUAUUGCUCCUGUUUACUCAGGUAGCUUAAAUAGGAGAGAUCUCUGCUUUGGAUCUAAGGAUAGCACUUUCCUAGGGUCCUAUCCGGAAACCACUGUGAUAUUCUGUGUGUUAGAAUAUACUUGGGCUUUCACCUUUUAGGCAUAGAUAUGGAAAUAUAUCUGGGGGGGGGAAGAAAAGAAUAAAAAUUAGGACUUGACCAUUUUUAUUUAAAAUCACUUCUCUGGUGAAAAAUUAUGCCAAAGAAUUGAAUGAUCUUUAGCUGGAAAUCUAAUUUCUGUUUGGAUAUGUCACUACAUGGAGUCCCAUAUUGGGUGCCAAUUAUGCCCAGCCAAUUAUACCCUAAAUUAUCCUUUGCCAAAGGACCAUAUCUUAUGUCAUUCCCAGGACAUCAAAGAACAAUGUGAUCUCAGUUUCUCUACUUCAGUGAGGAAAAUUGUAGGCUUCAUGAGAAAUAGAGUAUGUUCAGGCACUCUGACUACAGAAGCAAACAGAAGACUAAAGCAUGGUGUCACAGGUCCUGCCAAGAGCGUGCUCCAGCGCAGGCUUCCCAUGGGGUCACAGUCUCUUUCAGGCAUCCACCUGCUCCGGCGUGGGGUCCUCCAUGGGCUGCAGGGGGACAACCUGCCUCAACCUGGAGUUGUUUAGCCUUGAGAAAAGGAGGCUGAGUGGAGACCUUAUUGUUCUCUACAACUACCUGAAAGGAGGUUGUAUAGAGGAGGGUGCUGGCCUCUUCUCCCAAGUGACAGGUGAUAGGAUGAGGGGGAAUGGCCUCAAGCUGCACCAGAGGAGGUUCAGGCUGGACAUCAGGAAAAAAUUUUUCACAGAAAGGGUAAUUGGGCACUGGCAGAGGCUGCCAAGGGAGGUGUUUGAGUCACCAUCCCUGGAGGUAUUUAAAAGACAGGUAGAUGAGGUGCUCAGGGACAUGUUUUAGUGGCAGACAGGAAUGGUUGGACUCGAUGAUCCAAGAGGUCUUUUCCAACCUGGUGAUUCUAUAAUUCCAUGAUUCAUCGUGCUCUUCACCAUGGGUUGCAGAGGAUUCCAGUGCCUGGAGCACCUCUUCACUCUCCUUCUUCACUGACCUUGGUGUCUGCAGAGUUGUUUCACGUAUUCUCACUCUCUCUGGCUCCAGUUGCUCUUGCACAUUUGUUUUUUCUCCCCCUCCUUCUUAACUAUGUUAUCCCAGAGGUGCUACCACCAUGGCUGAUGGGCUUGGCCUUCACCAGUAGUCGGUCCGUCUUGGAGCCAGCUGGCAUUGACUGUGUUGGACAUAAGGGAACCUUCUAGCAGUUUCUCAUGGAAACCAUCCCUGAAUCCCCUGCUACCAAAACCUUGCCACGAAAACCCAAUACAGAGACAUCUCUCAAACACAAAAAGGACUUAAAAAGGCCAGUGGCAGUGACAAAUGAGUUCUGCUGUAUCUUGUUUGGCACGUUUUAAGAUAUCCCUGCCACACAGAGGACAAAACGUGACAUUGGCCACAUCACUGCAAAACGUGGAGUCUUACUUUAAAAUUCUAAUGAAGGCAGCUUUAAGCAAAGGUGCUGCUCUUCACAGGGUAGCUUGAAGCAGAGGCACACAUCCUUCUGUCAGUUCUGUCAGGCAGAAAAUCAUCCCUGGGAAUCACAAACCGGGCACUUAACAUUAGCAGAUGUUUUCCACCACGACCUACCUUCAGCUCCCUGUGUCCCGAUUCCAGUGUGGAUAAUAAAACCACCUUCUACCACAAGGCUGUCAUAAAGAAGAAUUCAUUAACAUUUGUAGAUAAGUCACUUAUUAGAGGGGAAAGCAUCAUAAAAAAGGCCGUAGGAAACAGUCUUAACGAUUCAAGAUACACUAUAAUGCAAACAGAUCACCAUAUUGGAAGGAGUGAUGUUAGUGA
This is a long non-coding RNA of Cuculus canorus (common cuckoo), 12485 nucleotides long. RefSeq lists it as uncharacterized. The transcript has 3 exons. The record is from RefSeq and is a predicted model, not a curated record. Lineage: Eukaryota; Metazoa; Chordata; Aves; Cuculiformes; Cuculidae.